RNAcentral lists this long non-coding RNA (1154 nucleotides) under Helianthus annuus (common sunflower). Lineage: Eukaryota; Viridiplantae; Streptophyta; Magnoliopsida; Asterales; Asteraceae. The record is from RNAcentral.
AAUGAGAAAUUAAACCAACGAUGUUAAAAUUGCCCAAACCUAUUCCUGCCUCAAAUUUCCUCACCCAAUCUCUGGUUAAAAAUUUUUCGUUUACAGAAUAGGUCAUGUUCCCGCUUCCCCCAAACCAGUUCUCGCUUCCCAGAUCUAAGGUCUCUUAAACAUCUAGGUUCUUGGCGAUCCAACAACCCCUCGAUUUGUAGUAGGUUUGAAGAUGCACACCAAGUGCUUGAUGAAAUGCUGCAGACAAACUCACUAUUGUUUCACAUGAUUCUUUACAAGAUAAGUGGAUAUCUGGUUUAGUUUUAAAUGUGUUGGUGUAAUGGAAUUGUGUGUUAUUGAGUUGUAGCUUAUUAAUAUUUAGUUUUCAAUCUAGUAUGAUUAUUGUCCAUGGAAGUUUUAGGAUAUUGAAAAAACUUAAAUGUUCAUGAAUAGUCGGUCGAUAAUUUUUUUUUUACCUUAUUAAGUAAUUAUGUUCUUACUUUAGUUCUUUCUUUUUUAUUAUUAAAAACACAUGCAUACACUUUUAUGUUGUACAUAUAUGACUAAAAUGUGUUCUUUAAUAAAUUUGAAUCUUGUUAUUAUCUUUUUUUUGAAAGGUGUGAAUUAUUCGCAAAUGUCGGGAGGUCUAGCAUACGUUGUCUUAACCAGGUCCGCGCUAGAGAGCCCCCUCGCACAAUAGAUCCCAAUUUAAACCCCUCAAUGAGAAACCCCUAUCACCCAGACUCGAACUUGAGACCUGGAGAGAAAAACUCACCCGAGCCCACCAUAGGUGAAACUUAAAUACCCGUGGCCACCAUUAGAGCACUAGUGAUGGUUAAUCUUGUUAUUAUCUAAUGUCUAAAAGAUGAGAGGUUUUUAUGCUGGCUAUGGGAGUUUCGAUUAUGCCAUUAAUGCUCAUGAUAAGCAAGAGUUUAUAUGCACAUCUGUACUAUCAGACUUGAGAAUCGAUUAGCCGUGAUAGAGAAGAUUGCUAAGAAAUCUGUGAAAUCUGCUAAUCUAAACGUUGCAAGACUUGUUGAUUUACAAAAUGUAAGCAUUCAAUGAAAGAUGAUACAAUGAAGGUGAAGUUUCAACAUGAAUAAAGUCCCAUAAAACAUGAAGCAUAGAACAGAAUCCUACACAAUGACGGAUAAGCCAAUAGAUAUACAAUAAUU